AAUCUGCCUACCAGUGGGGGAUAACUAACCGAAAGGUUAGCUAAUACCGCAUGAGGCCACAAUGUCUGCGGACAAAGGGGUGAAAGAUUUAUCGCUGGUAGAUGAGUUUGCGUGGGAUUAGCUAGUUGGUGGGGUAAUGGCCUACCAAGGCAACGAUCUCUAACUGGUCUGAGAGGAUGGCCAGUCACACUGGAACUGAGACACGGUCCAGACUCCUACGGGAGGCAGCAGUAGGGAAUAUUGCGCAAUGGGGGAAACCCUGACGCAGCGACGCCGCGUGAGU
Molecule: ribosomal RNA, 283 nt
Filed under: uncultured bacterium
Lineage: Bacteria
Description: partial 16S ribosomal RNA
Rfam family: Bacterial small subunit ribosomal RNA
Source: RNAcentral